CCUACGGGAGGCAGCAGUGAGGAAUAUUGGUCAAUGGACGAGAGUCUGAACCAGCCAAAUAGCGUGAAGGAUGACUGCCCUAUGGGUUGUAAACUUCUUUUAUAUGGGAAUAAAACGUUCCACGUGUGGGAUUUUGUAUGUACCAUAUGAAUAAGGAUCGGCUAACUCCGUGCCAGCAGCCGCGGUAAUACGGAGGAUCCGAGCGUUAUCCGGAUUUAUUGGGUUUAAAGGGAGCGUAGGUGGAUUGUUAAGUCAGUUGUGAAAGUUUGCGGCUCAACCGUAAAAUUGCAGUUGAAACUGGCAGUCUUGAGUACAGUAGAGGUGGGCGGAAUUCGUGGUGUAGCGGUGAAAUGCUUAGAUAUCACGAAGAACUCCGAUUGCGAAGGCAGUUCACUGGACUGCAACUGACACUGAGGCUCGAAAGUGUGGGUAUCAAACAGGAUUAGAUACCCGAGUAGUC
Molecule: ribosomal RNA, 460 nt
Filed under: uncultured bacterium
Lineage: Bacteria
Description: partial 16S ribosomal RNA
Rfam family: Bacterial small subunit ribosomal RNA
Source: RNAcentral